GAUGAACGCUGGCGGCGUGCCUAAUACAUGCAAGUCGAGCGAACGGACGAGAAGCUUGCUUCUCUGAUGUUAGCGGCGGACGGGUGAGUAACACGUGGAUAACCUACCUUUAAGACUGGGAUAACUUCGGGAAACCGGAGCUAAUACCGGAUAAUAUUUUGAACCGCAUGGUUCAAAAGUGAAAGACGGUCUUGCUGUCACUUAUAGAUGGAUCCGCGCUGCAUUAGCUAGUUGGUAAGGUAACGGCUUACCAAGGCAACGAUGCAUAGCCGACCUGAGAGGGUGAUCGGCCACACUGGAACUGAGACACGGUCCAGACUCCUACGGGAGGCAGCAGUAGGGAAUCUUCCACAAUGGGCGAAAGCCUGACGGAGCAACGCCGCGUGAGUGAUGAAGGUCUUCGGAUCGUAAAACUCUGUUAUUAGGGAAGAACAUAUGUGUAAGUAACUGUGCACAUCUUGACGGUACCUAAUCAGAAAGCCACGGCUAACUACGU
RNAcentral lists this ribosomal RNA (496 nucleotides) under uncultured bacterium. RNAcentral describes it as "partial 16S ribosomal RNA". It matches the Rfam family "Bacterial small subunit ribosomal RNA", at positions 28 to 506 of the family's 1533-position model. The record is from RNAcentral.